Molecule: ribosomal RNA, 425 nt
Filed under: uncultured bacterium
Lineage: Bacteria
Description: partial 16S ribosomal RNA
Rfam family: Bacterial small subunit ribosomal RNA
Source: RNAcentral
GAGUAUUGGACAAUGGGCGCAAGCCUGAUCCAGCCAUACCGCGUGGGUGAAGAAGGCCUUCGGGUUGUAAAGCCCUUUUGUUGGGAAAGAAAAGCAGUCGGCUAAUACGCGGUUGUUCUGACGGUACCCAAAGAAUAAGCAACGGAUAACUUCGUCCCAGCAGCCGCGGUAAUACGUAGGGUGCAAGCGUUACUCGGAAUUACUGGGCGUAAAUCGUUCGUAGGUGGUUGUUUAAGUCUGUUGUGAAAGCCCUGGGCUCAACCUGGGAAUUGCAGUGGAUACUGGGCGACUAGAGUGUGGUAGAGGGUAUUGGAAUUCCCGGUGUAGCAGUGAAAUGCGUAUAGAUCGGGAGGAACAUCCAUGGCGAAGGCAGCUACCUGGACCAACACUGACACCGAGGCACGAAAGCGUGGGGAGCAAACAGG